This 338-nucleotide ribosomal RNA is filed under the name uncultured bacterium. RNAcentral describes it as "bacterial SSU rRNA". It matches the Rfam family "Bacterial small subunit ribosomal RNA", at positions 30 to 365 of the family's 1533-position model. The record is from RNAcentral.
AUUGAACGCUGGCGGCGUGCCUAACACAUGCAAGUCGAGCGGUAACAGGUGUAGCAAUACAUGCUGACGAGCGGCGAACGGGUGAGUAAUGCUUUGGAAUCUUCCCAGUAGUGGGGAAUAACCAGUCGAAAGAUUGGCUAAUACCGCAUACGUCUGUAAAGGGAAAGCGGGGCGUCGUAAGACCUCGCGCUAUUGGAUGAGCAAAGUACGGAUUAGCUAGUUGGUGGGGUAAGNGGCCUACCAAGGCGACAAUCCGUAGCUGGUCUGAGAGGACGACCAGCCACACCGGAACUGAGACACGGUCCGGACUCCUACGGGAGGCAGCAGUGGGGAAGUAA